This 359-nucleotide long non-coding RNA is filed under the name Panax ginseng (ginseng). RNAcentral describes it as "long non-coding RNA (PGIN_LNC014037)". The record is from RNAcentral. Lineage: Eukaryota; Viridiplantae; Streptophyta; Magnoliopsida; Apiales; Araliaceae.
UCACUGCAAGCCAACCUAGCUACUGGAAGUAGACUGCAGCGUGGUUCGUUUUGAAGGCCUGGAUAGGUGGUUGUAUAGGGGCCAAGAUAGCAGCCAAGUAGAUUUGAUGAUGGGGCUGGUUGUAGGUAAUGAUGGAAGGCAAAUAUAGGUUCAGUAGACUGAGAGAAAGAGAGAAGAAAAGCUCAGCCAUAUAUAGCCAAGCCUUCCAUCCGAACUUAACUAUAUCUGUAGCAAAGUGUUGUUAUUUUUUUAAAAGUCAGAAGCAGUUAGAGUGAAAGGAGAGGUAGCAGUUAAGGUAUCCAAUCUUCCUCUUACCAACCAAAUCAGAUAACACUUUAAAAGCAAAAGAAAGGUAGCAC